Molecule: ribosomal RNA, 187 nt
Filed under: Coprinopsis lagopus
Lineage: Eukaryota; Fungi; Basidiomycota; Agaricomycetes; Agaricales; Psathyrellaceae
Description: 5.8S RNA
Rfam family: 5.8S ribosomal RNA (bases 9-162)
About the family: 5.8S ribosomal RNA (5.8S rRNA) is a component of the large subunit of the eukaryotic ribosome. It is transcribed by RNA polymerase I as part of the 45S precursor that also contains 18S and 28S rRNA. Functionally, it is thought that 5.8S rRNA may be involved in ribosome translocation.
Source: RNAcentral
ACCUAUACAACUUUCAGCAACGGAUCUCUUGGCUCUCGCAUCGAUGAAGAACGCAGCGAAAUGCGAUAAGUAAUGUGAAUUGCAGAAUUCAGUGAAUCAUCGAAUCUUUGAACGCACCUUGCGCUCCUUGGUAUUCCGAGGAGCAUGCCUGUUUGAGUGUCAUUAAUUUCUCAACCUCACCAACUUU